Molecule: ribosomal RNA, 206 nt
Filed under: uncultured bacterium
Lineage: Bacteria
Description: partial 16S ribosomal RNA
Rfam family: Bacterial small subunit ribosomal RNA
Source: RNAcentral
CGUGUAGGCGGCCGUACAGGUCUGUUGUGAAAACUGGAGGCUCAACCUCCAGACGUCGACAGAAACCGUGCGGCUAGAGUCCGGAAGAGGAGAGUGGAAUUCCUGGUGUAGCGGUGAAAUGCGCAGAUAUCAGGAAGAACACCAAUGGCGAAGGCAGCUCUCUGGGACGGUACUGACGCUGAGAGCGAAAGCGUGGGGAGCGAACA